AAAAAAUUCUACAAACAAUUCUAAAGACUUAAGGAUUCCUCAUAGUUUCUUCCACUUAAAGAAAUACAUUCUAUGAGGUGCAGAUUUAUUUCUUCCCAUCUUAAGUAUUUGAGAACCACCUCCACUCAGCACCUGAAAUUUUAGGAAAACUUACCUUAGAGUUGAAUAAAGGAUCCUUUAUUUCCAGAGCAAGAGGAGCAAUUUGCACUCUAGUACCACUGGCUGUGAGUAUGAUAGUCUGCCAUGUGUACUGUUCUUGAGGCCCAAUGAAUAAUUCACUUUUAUUCUGAGCUAGUCCCCCAAACACCAUUACCACCACUGACAAGGUGUCUCAUGGAAAGGCUGCAGUGCAGGACCCCUGCUGAAGCUGAGGAGGCACCUGCAUAGCCCUGGCAAGGAGGGCUCUUCCUGAGAUAUUUGAUGUAGACCACAAGGGUAACCUUGCAAAGAGAACAGCAGUGCACCCCCAGCAGAGAAAGCUACACCUAGGCUAUGUGAAAACCACAGCUGCACCUGAUGGAGAGGGGAUUAUCAGAUGCUAUUUGGUCUCUGCUCAUGCAACCCAAAACUUCCCGCCUGGCUGAACUGGGUAAUGUGAUAUAGCAAUCCAGUGAGAACAGCUCCACUACUUCAGCAGAAAAAAGACUGAACUUCAGCAGAGUGAACAGAAUGUAUCAAUGCAUCCUUUUUCGUACCACUUCUUGGUGCACAAGUUCGCUGUCCAUCUCCUACAUCUGAUGGCUUAUAAUCACUCCUAAUUUUCUCUGAUACAUUUUGGUUUUGGCCCAUAAGAGUAAACAAUAUUUACCUCCUUAAUAUAUUUUGAUUUCUCUCAGCAUGCAAUACUUGGCACAGAUCAAAUUCUUUGAUAGAGUUUGACAUUUGGCUUAAUGAAAUAUCAUUUUUAUCUUCCUGUGUGUACUUCCAUUUUGAACUUUUGUUUUAGUUUUGCAUACCUUGAGCUUUGGAAGGACCUGAAUGAGGGAGAUUUCAGCAAAUAUUUUAUUUCAGAGUGAGAAGGACCAGAGAUUUCCUUUAAUUGGUUGCAUUUCACAGAUAUAUUUAUGACGUUAUUCAGAGAAGAAUCAAAUAACAACCUCUUUCUUAUCACCACUAUCAUUCUGUGUUGCCUAGCAAUUCAUACAAAUUUCAUUAUUUUACAUAAUUCUUACAAAGAAACAAAUGGAGCCAAUAAAUAUACAACCUGACAUAUAUAUGUCUAAAAACAGAAGUUGAUCCUGGCCCUUAAGUCCAAAAAAAUCAAAGAAGUCCUAUUUGAUUUUUAAUUUGAGGAAAAAAAAAAAAAAAGCAAUGCACUAUGCAAAAAUAGAUAAUGGAAUAUAUUAAAACUCUGAAAUCUGUAGCUGGAAUUUCAUCUACCUUUUUCUCAAGUGUCAGAUCUGUGAAAUAUAAAAAAUUUUUAUGUGCCAGUAUUUUAGACAAUAUGAUGACAAAAUGGGUACCACAAAAUGGUCUUGAAUUCCCAUUUAUGUAGUUUGCAGAGUAAAGACAAAUAUAGAAUACACUUCAAGAAUUAGUAGUAAUGACUUAUAGUUCUUACGCUGCAAUCAAAGAUUUAUUUUAAAAUAUGAUGAAACUAUGAUAAAGAAAUGGUCAAGAAUGUAUAGACAAGUCUGUAUAGUUGUUAUCACUGAUAAUAUAUAUCAGGGUCCAGGGUCUCAGAAAUCACUAGAAAAAAAUUAUUUAUUCAAGACAUCCUUUUAGCCUUUAAUAAACAGCAUAAGAAUAGAUUCCAGAAAAUAAGAAACAUUUUAGCUAAAGCAUAUAAAUAUGUAAUUUCUGGCUUAUUUCUUAAGUUUCUGAUUGUCAAUGCCAUGCUAUUCUUUACCUCAGAAGUCAGGAAACAAAGGAAAAAUGAAUGUGUUGAGAAUUGCAGGAGCUGAAAAAUGCUGGAUAUUUCUAUGCUAAUGUUUAACAGAGAAAAAAAAAAGAAAAAUUUGUGUGUGUGCAUAAAAUCAGAGAACAAACAAAUAGACAAAAAGUUUUGUUUGCUGUUUUGCAAAAAGAUGAGAAAUGCAACACUGCUUGACUGCUGCUGGUUUUAGUUUACAAAACAAGUGCAAUUGACACUGGGAUUACUCAGUGCAGUUUAAAAUAUGUGGGUAUCUUUGCGCAUGUACUAUAUCUCUGAUGCUCAAAAUAUUGUGAUAUACUGCUGCAGCCAGCAAGGUCUGAGGAUCAUGACUGGCAUGAGAUUUCAGGUGAAUAGUGACAUUUCUUCUGAUUUCUUAAAUCUGUGUAUAUGUGUGUAUGUAUGUUGAUCCUAGCCUGUAAUGCAACUGCAGUCAUUCUUCA
Long non-coding RNA from Haemorhous mexicanus (house finch), 2316 nucleotides. RefSeq lists it as uncharacterized. The record is from RefSeq and is a predicted model, not a curated record. The transcript has 4 exons. NCBI's taxonomy places the organism in Eukaryota, Metazoa, Chordata, Aves, Passeriformes, Fringillidae.